RNAcentral lists this transfer RNA (28 nucleotides) under Myrceugenia lanceolata. RNAcentral describes it as "partial transfer RNA-His". Lineage: Eukaryota; Viridiplantae; Streptophyta; Magnoliopsida; Myrtales; Myrtaceae. The record is from RNAcentral.
CGGAUGUACCCAACUUGAUCAAGGCAUG